Molecule: ribosomal RNA, 433 nt
Filed under: uncultured bacterium
Lineage: Bacteria
Description: partial 16S ribosomal RNA
Rfam family: Bacterial small subunit ribosomal RNA
Source: RNAcentral
AACGAACGCUGGCGGCAUGCCUAACACAUGCAAGUCGAACGAGACGUUCGGGUCUAGUGGCGCACGGGUGCGUAACGCGUGGGAACCUGCCCUUAGGUUCGGAAUAACUCCCCGAAAGGGGUGCUAAUACCGGAUAAUGUCUUCGGACCAAAGAUUUAUCGCCUUUGGAUGGGCCCGCGUUGGAUUAGCUAGUUGGUAGGGUAAAAGCCUACCAAGGCGACGAUCCAUAGCUGGUCUGAGAGGAUGAUCAGCCACACUGGGACUGAGACACGGCCCAGACUCCUACGGGAGGCAGCAGUGGGGAAUAUUGGACAAUGGGCGAAAGCCUGAUCCAGCAAUGCCGCGUGAGUGAUGAAGGCCUUAGGGUUGUAAAGCUCUUUUACCCGGGAUGAUAAUGACAGUACCGGGAGAAUAAGCGCCGGCUAACUCCGUG